Molecule: ribosomal RNA, 924 nt
Filed under: uncultured Campylobacterota bacterium
Lineage: Bacteria; Pseudomonadati; Campylobacterota
Description: bacterial SSU rRNA
Rfam family: Bacterial small subunit ribosomal RNA
Source: RNAcentral
AGUUGAUCCUGGCUCAGAACGAACGUUGGCGGCGUGCUUAACACAUGCAAGUCGAACGAGAAAGUUCCUUCGGGAACGAGUAAAGUGGCGCACGGGUGAGUAACGCGUAGAUAACCUGUCCAGGUGUUUGGGAUAGCCCUUCGAAAGGGGGAUUAAUACCAAAUACGUUAAUUUGCUAUAAGGCGAAUUAAGAAAGGUGGCCUCUAUUUAUAAGCUAUCGCAUUUGGAGGGGUCUGCGUACCAUUAGCUAGUUGGUGGGGUAAUGGCCUACCAAGGCUUCGAUGGUUAGCGGGUCUGAGAGGAUGAUCCGUCACACUGGCACUGAAACACGGGCCAGACUCCUACGGGAGGCAGCAGUGAGGAAUAUUGCGCAAUGGGGGAAACCCUGACGCAGCGACGCCGCGUGAGUGAGGAAGGCCUUCGGGUCGUAAAGCUCUGUCAGAAGGGAAGAAAUGUACAUUAGCUAAUAUCUUUUGUACUUGACGGUACCUUCAAAGGAAGCACCGGCUAACUCCGUGCCAGCAGCCGCGGUAAUACUGAGGGUGCAAACGUUGUUCGGAAUCACUGGGCGUAAAGGGCGCGCAGGCGGUUUGAUUAGUCAGAUGUGAAAGCCCACGGCUUAACCGUGGAAGUGCAUUUGAAACUGUCAGACUUGAGUACCAGAGGGGGUAGUGGAAUUCCCGGUGUAGAGGUGAAAUUCGUAGAUAUCGGGAGGAAUACCGGUGGCGAAGGCGACUACCUGGCUGGAUACUGACGCUGAGGCGCGAAAGCGUGGGGAGCAAACAGGAUUAGAUACCCUGGUAGUCCACGCCGUAAACGAUGUCAACUAGAUGUAGGGGGUGUUGAUCCCCUCUGUGUCGCAGCUAACGCAUUAAGUUGACCGCCUGGGGAGUACGGUCGCAAGAUAAAACUCAAAGGAAUUGA